CUAUACCUUAGUCAUGUUAAGCGUUAACUCUCAAGAGAGAGAAGGAAGAGACAAGAAGUUAAAGUCUCAAUAGCUGUAAGGGAGGGACCAAAAACCUCCAUUAAAUAGUAGCUAAAAACAUGCAUGACUAUCUCUAGUGUAUCAAAAAAAAAAAAAAGAAGCUUAAGCUCUUUUCCUUUCCUAUAUAUAAGCUUAAUAGUUUUCCAGCAAAGGCAAAAAAAAAAAAAGAACCCUAAUUCAAUAUUUCGGUUCAUCUCUUGUUAUUGUCUUUCUGGUAUAUAUAUAUAUGUUGGUUUGAGAGGUUGAAGCUGCCAGCAUGAUCUGGUGAUUAACCUAGCUAUCACUUUUUCUUUUUUCCUCCCUUUUUAAGUAUUUUUUUUCGACCUCUUUAGUGGUAUAUAUGCAGAUUGAAAGACCAGUUUUGGAUUAAAUUUCUUGAGUUAUUUUCAGGGUUUAGUUAGAUAUGUCUUAAUGGGGGAAACCCUGCUUGAACUUUAUAGCUUCAUAGGUAUGGUUUCAACAUCAGAUCAUCUUGCAGCUUCAAUCACUCACUCACCAACAAAAGACAACUCUUUUUUAUCUAGCUAUUUAUGGAUACAUUUGUGAUUUUGGCUCCACCUUCAUUCCAGAGCCCAUCAAUGGUUUAUUCCCAUACCUAUCAUCAGUUUGGGCUGCAGGAUUAAAGCUCCAAAGCAGGUUUAUUUGCUAUGUCUUUCAAUUCAAUGAUAAGUUUUAGAUUUGUGUCCAAACGAGUUUUAAUUUGAUUUGUAUGAAUAUUAUUACCAAUGGAAAAGGACGUGGGUUUAAGCAUAUUGUAGUAGUGCAUUAUCCUCCUAUUUAUGGAUUGAGAAUGAGCUAUGUGUAAUUUUAA
Molecule: long non-coding RNA, 871 nt
Organism: Gossypium arboreum
Lineage: Eukaryota; Viridiplantae; Streptophyta; Magnoliopsida; Malvales; Malvaceae
Exons: 2
Source: RefSeq, a predicted model, not a curated record